CCGGCAAACGGGUGCGGAACACGUACGCAACUUUCCUUCAAGCGGGGAAUAGCCCAGGGAAACUUGGAUUAAUACCCCAUAAUUUUAUGAAGUGGCAUCACUUUAUAAGUAAAGCUCCGGCACUUGAAGAUGGGCGUGCGGCUGAUUAGGUAGUUGGCGGGGUAACGGCCCACCAAGCCUACGAUCAGUAACUGGUGUGAGAGCACGACCAGUCACACGGGCACUGAGACACGGGCCCG
This 239-nucleotide ribosomal RNA is filed under the name uncultured bacterium. RNAcentral describes it as "partial 16S ribosomal RNA". It matches the Rfam family "Bacterial small subunit ribosomal RNA", at positions 95 to 334 of the family's 1533-position model. The record is from RNAcentral.